This 448-nucleotide long non-coding RNA is filed under the name Musa acuminata (dwarf banana). RNAcentral describes it as "long non-coding RNA (MACU_LNC003538)". Lineage: Eukaryota; Viridiplantae; Streptophyta; Magnoliopsida; Zingiberales; Musaceae. The record is from RNAcentral.
UCUGAAAUAAUUGCUUGACCAAAGCAUAUAUAUUUAUUGGCCAAAAGUUGCCCGAGCUGCUCAGAGGUGAAAGCCCCUCGACCUAAACUUUAGUCACAUUGUUGUGUGUGUUCAUUUAGCACAGUUAGGUUCGACAUCUUCACUACGUCCAUUUGACAACAUAGGGUAAAAUCAACAAGAAAGUAGAAGGUUUCGAGGAAAAUCCUCAUUCUCUUGAAAUGUGUCAAUGAGGGUAGUAAGCUAAAAUAAGAACCAUGUAAAUUUUCCUUUUUAAAUACUUCAGAUCAACUUUGACUUUUGAACAUAACAUAGUAUCUUCAUUGAAUGGUUGAAACAGGACAAACCGAUUUAGUCGUGAACAUGAUGAAAUGAUUUAUAUUAAAGGACCUUGUUACAAACAGUCAAUUUUUUCUUUUGAAGUGGUGAAGAUGGGUUUUGAUCUCUGGGC